Molecule: non-coding RNA, 26 nt
Filed under: Homo sapiens (human)
Lineage: Eukaryota; Metazoa; Chordata; Mammalia; Primates; Hominidae
Source: RNAcentral
UACGAGGAGCAGUGCCGAAGGCUGGA